UAGAUGAUAAAUAGAUUCCGACAAAUUAUCUUUCUUUUCAAGGAAACCUUAGUCUCACUAUUCUCCUAAGUUUCCUAGUUGCUUCAGAUUAAAGCCACAGAACCUGUCUCUCUUCCCUUCCAAAUAGAACAAGGAUUUUCAAUCUUCACCCACUUCUUAUCUUUCUCUCUUUCUAUCAUAGAAAGAAAAUAUAGUAGAAAUAGUUAGAAAAAUGUGCAACUCAGAUGGUGAGUGCAGGCCCUUGGGUUUUCUAUUGGGUCUUCCCUUUGCUUUUCUCUGUCUCCUCAUCUCUAUAGUUGGCCUUGUUGUCUGGAUUGUUGGGUAAGAGAUAUUCACUCUCUAUCUUUACCUUACUAUACUUGGUUUUUUUCAUUUUGAUAAAAGUAAUUGUAUUAUCUUCACUAUGUAAUUACCAUGUAAUUUGAAGUUUAUGUUCUGGGUGGUGUGAUUUCUUGUCCUCUGAAAUGGGUUUGGAUCUGAUGGAAUUGAAAUAAUCUUUGCUCGAUGGUAUUUUUGUGAAUACUGUAAAUUUUGGAACUUUAUUUAGUUUUUAUGUCAAAUUCAUUUUUGAGAGAUUAGUGUAGCUAAGUAUUAUUUAAUUCUAUGAAGCACUAAUCUGUCAAAAACAUAAAGAUUGUGAAUAUUAGUUUAAUUAAAUUUGUGUGAAUACUGUAUAAAUGUGUCAAAAAUUUAUACAGUAUUCACUAAUCUGUCAAAAAUGAAUUUGACAUUAAUACUAAGUAAAGUUCCAACAUUUUAUACAGUAUUCACUAAUCUGUCAAAUUCAUAUUUAAUAUAUUUUAGUGAAUACUGUAUAAAUGUUGUUGUUGUUCCAAAAACAUUUGACAGUUUAUUUUUAAUUUUAGUGAAUAAUGUAUAAAUGUUGGCUACCACCGUAGUUAAAGAGAUUAUAUGUUUGUUUGCAAGUUGAAUUUUGAAUGAGAGUGAAUGAAAAGGAAAGGUUUAGAGCCAUAUCAUAAAUAUAUAUUAUGUCUUCCAAGCAUUUAUUUUCCCUCCAAAAUUCAACUCACAAAUGGACCAUAAAGUUUUGUUUUUGUUGUUGUUGUUAAUAAUUGAAAAUUUAAAACAUUUUUUUAUAUAAUAUCUGGUAUAUGCAGAUUGUUGCUGACAUGCAUAUGCCCCUGCUGCUUGUGCUUGACGGUUAUAGUUGAGCUUGCUUUGGAGUUAAUCAAGGCUCCAUUGCAUGUUAUGGAGUGGUUCACCUCUCAGAUCCCAUGUUAAGCUUUUUUUUUCACAAGAAAAAGAUUACACUUGUCUUAGUUGGUGCUGUUGCUUCCUUUUUAGUUACUUUUAUCUUGUUAAUAAUAUUAUGGCUUUGAGAGUAAGAAUAUGAAGUUAAUGACAUAUUAUUGAUCUGUGUGCUUUUUUGUUUUCUCUGUAAAGAAUAAUGUUAGUAGGGUCAAUGAAUUCUAGUUGAAUAAAAAACAAAUUGAAGAGUUCACAGGACAAUUUUGUUUCUUGUGCAUUUUAUUUUACUAAUGAACUGAGGAAGGUGAUUGUUAAGACUUAUCUUGAAAACUGAUAUCCUAAUUCAGCACUGAAAGCAACAUGUUUGCUAAUUGAUGAAAAACUGUAAGUUUCUGUUUGCAGAGGAAUAGAAAUUGUAGUUGGGACUUGUAGGGUCCAUUUGGUACACAAGAGUAAGAGUAAAUGUUGGAGUUAGGACAUGAUCCUCAUCAUGUGAUAAAGAAGAAGGAAGAUGAGGAAGAUAAAGAAGGAAGGAGUUAUGCAAUUAAGAAGAAUGAAGAAAAUGAUUAGGCUGAAGAAAAUGAUUAGGCUCAAAUCUUCUUCUAUUUUUAGAUUGGGCCUUAUUUUCCCCUUGGCCCAACUUGCUAUUUUUAUCUUCAGUUGGUUAAGUUAGUUGGGAUAAACUAACUUUAGUUUCUUUAAAUAGCUUCUUCUUCCUUGUAAAGUUAACAGUUUUGAAUAAAACAAAAUAAAGUUCAAGAAGUUUCACAAUCAAUUCUUGCAAUGGGGUACCAUGGAAUUCAACAGUAAAACAAGAAAGAAUAAGGGGCAGAAGGUCAUAGGUGAAGUAAAUAGAUCACAUGUCCUUAAUGAUAUUUUAUUCUCUAUACCAGAUAAAUUAUAAUAGCACACUCUUAGGAGUAGGUGUACCCGG
RNAcentral lists this long non-coding RNA (2143 nucleotides) under Lupinus angustifolius (narrow-leaved blue lupine). Its description in RNAcentral is "long non-coding RNA (LANG_LNC003296)". Lineage: Eukaryota; Viridiplantae; Streptophyta; Magnoliopsida; Fabales; Fabaceae. The record is from RNAcentral.